Triticum dicoccoides is the source of this 417-nucleotide long non-coding RNA. RefSeq lists it as uncharacterized. The transcript is spliced from 3 exons. Lineage: Eukaryota; Viridiplantae; Streptophyta; Magnoliopsida; Poales; Poaceae. The record is from RefSeq and is a predicted model, not a curated record.
CUCCGCGCCAUCCUGCCUCCCCUCUCGCGCCGCCGCCUUCUCUCCUGGCACGUUCUUCUAGGCCUAUUCCCCGGCGCUCGAGGUGCAGCAGCGGCGGUGCCGCUCCUCCUCUCGGGCAUGGCGCUACAGGAUCUGGUGGCCUCUGCCUCCCCACUGCAGGUGUGAGGUUGGGCAUUUUGGCAAUGGCAGCUACGGUUUCAGGAAAGGACGCCCAUGCCAUGUGCAAUGACAACAACAUCACAUCUCCUUCCUGUUUUAUAUUUUCAGUUUUUACAUGUUGAGCUAUAGGUUGGUUUGAUCUCCUCUGUCAGGCAGGUGUGAGGUUGGGCAUUUUGGCAAUGGCAGCCACGGUUUCAGCAAAGGAUGCCCAUACAAUGUGCAACGACAGCAACAUCAUCACAGGGAUAGGCCAUCGGC